RNAcentral lists this ribosomal RNA (159 nucleotides) under Rhizocarpon geographicum. RNAcentral describes it as "5.8S ribosomal RNA". It matches the Rfam family "5.8S ribosomal RNA". From Rfam's summary of the family: 5.8S ribosomal RNA (5.8S rRNA) is a component of the large subunit of the eukaryotic ribosome. It is transcribed by RNA polymerase I as part of the 45S precursor that also contains 18S and 28S rRNA. The record is from RNAcentral. Lineage: Eukaryota; Fungi; Ascomycota; Lecanoromycetes; Rhizocarpales; Rhizocarpaceae.
AAAACUUUCAACAACGGAUCUCUUGGUUCUGGCAUCGAUGAAGAACGCAGCGAAAUGCGAUAAGUAAUGUGAAUUGCAGAAUUCAGUGAAUCAUCGAAUCUUUGAACGCACAUUGCGCCCUUUGGCACUCCAAGGGGCAUGCCUGUUCGAGCGUCAUUA